AAUAUACAUAUAUAAAGCCUAUAUGAAUUCAUUUUAAAAAAUUUAAAUAAUAAUUGGUGAAAUCUGCUUCGAUACUUAAAAAAAAAUUGCCAGAAAUGAUAUUUGACCACAAGUAUUAACAUCACUUGAGCUCUAGAAAAAUGAAAAUAGGCAACAAAUAUGUCCCACUCCUAAAGGCAAAUAGAAAAUGACCAUUCCUCCAUGAACCGCAAAGACCUCUUAAUUAUAGCUAAGAAAGUUUACAUGAACAUAUCUCCUUGUGUUGUGGGGAAAACUUACCUAGAUAGUCUAUUAUGGACCCAAUACAAAAACAUUGGAGUUCCACCCAUUUUACAUGUAGAUCUCAUUUGGGUAUAUGAUAGACUAAAUCUAAUUAAGAAUUUCCCCUGGUAUACCGAAAAGCUAAGGAGCUUAUUCCAAACAUCAAGCCAUCGAUGCUCAGAGAUCAGUGUGUUUUUGGGUUUGGGGCAAGGAUAGGUGCAUUUGCUGUUCCGUAAGAUUAUCUCAAAUGGCAAAAGAAAAAGGGCAAUCUAUAUCUUAAUGACAAGUAGCUAGAUCCGCCAGUCUUCCAAAUCUUAGAAACUCAUUUGCAGCUCCGUAAGAUAAGACAGAAAAAGGAUCAUCUAUCUCUUG
This 633-nucleotide unclassified non-coding RNA is filed under the name Hevea brasiliensis (rubber tree). Lineage: Eukaryota; Viridiplantae; Streptophyta; Magnoliopsida; Malpighiales; Euphorbiaceae. The record is from RNAcentral.